UACUCCUACGGGAGGCAGCAGUGGGGAAUAUUGCGCAAUGGGCGAAAGCCUGACGCAGCGACGCCGCGUGCGGGAUGAAGGCCUUCGGGUUGUAAAGCUCUUUCGGCCGGGAAGAAAUCGCAUGGGUGAAUACCCUGUGUGGAUGACGGUACCGGAACAAGAAGCACCGGCUAACUACGUGCCAGCAGCCGCGGUAAU
Molecule: ribosomal RNA, 198 nt
Filed under: uncultured bacterium
Lineage: Bacteria
Description: partial 16S ribosomal RNA
Rfam family: Bacterial small subunit ribosomal RNA
Source: RNAcentral